AACGAACGCUGGCGGCAGGCCUAACACAUGCAAGUCGAACGCCGUAGCAAUACGGAGUGGCAGACGGGUGAGUAACACGUGGGAACGUACCCUUCGGUUCGGGAUAACUCAGGGAAACUUGAGCUAAUACCGGAUACGUCCGAGAGGAGAAAGAUUUAUCGCCGAGGGAUCGGCCCGCGUCUGAUUAGCUUGUUGGUGAGGUAACGGCUCACCAAGGCGACGAUCAGUAGCUGGUCNGAGAGGAUGAUCAGCCACAUUGGGACUGAGACACGGCCCAAACUCCUACGGGAGGCAGCAGUGGGGAAUAUUGGACAAUGGGCGCAAGCCUGAUCCAGCCAUGCCGCGUGAGUGAUGAAGGCCCUAGGGUUGUAAAGCUCUUUUACCCGGGAAGAUAAUGACUGUACCGGGAGAAUAAGCCCGCUAACUUCGUGCCAGCCGCCGCCGUAAC
This 448-nucleotide ribosomal RNA is filed under the name uncultured bacterium. RNAcentral describes it as "bacterial SSU rRNA". It matches the Rfam family "Bacterial small subunit ribosomal RNA", at positions 29 to 524 of the family's 1533-position model. The record is from RNAcentral.